GCCGCUGUGGCGGAAUUGGCAGACGCGCAGCAUUCAGGGUGCUGUUUCCUUCGGGAAGUACAGGUUCGACCCCUGCCAGCGGCACUA
RNAcentral lists this transfer RNA (87 nucleotides) under Lactobacillus sp. Its description in RNAcentral is "tRNA-Leu". It matches the Rfam family "tRNA". Rfam says of the family: Transfer RNA (tRNA) molecules are approximately 80 nucleotides in length. Their secondary structure includes four short double-helical elements and three loops (D, anti-codon, and T loops). Further hydrogen bonds mediate the characteristic L-shaped molecular structure. tRNAs have two regions of fundamental functional importance: the anti-codon, which is responsible for specific mRNA codon recognition, and the 3' end, to which the tRNAs corresponding amino acid is attached (by aminoacyl-tRNA synthetases). tRNAs cope with the degeneracy of the genetic code in two manners: having more than one tRNA (with a specific anti-codon) for a particular amino acid; and 'wobble' base-pairing, i.e. permitting non-standard base-pairing at the 3rd anti-codon position. The record is from RNAcentral. RNAcentral also lists the same sequence under 1 other name. Lineage: Bacteria; Bacillati; Bacillota; Bacilli; Lactobacillales; Lactobacillaceae.